AAGUCGUAACAAGGUAACCGUAGGUGAACCUGCGGUUGGAUCAUUAACAAUUAUUAUUGAGCCUCCCUCCCCCGGGCGGGUAGGUUCUUUAACACUUGUGUGCACUGUUUAUUGUCUCUCGGCGUUCGAGGGUUGGGUAGCAGAGCUUGCUCUGAUGCCCUUGGGCUUUACGGCCUUGAUCUACCCUUGAGCGCCAACCUAAAACUUGAUUUUUUAUUUAUACUCUAAGCCUUUAAUUUUAAAUUUAUAAUUUGAAAACAACUUUUAACAACGGAUCUCUAGGCUCUCA
Molecule: unclassified non-coding RNA, 289 nt
Filed under: fungal sp.
Lineage: Eukaryota; Fungi
Description: partial internal transcribed spacer region
Rfam family: Eukaryotic small subunit ribosomal RNA (bases 1-46)
Source: RNAcentral